UAUUAAGUUAUUUGGUGAAUGACACGCAAAAGUUGAACUGCUCACGGAACGUUUAAUUUUUUAAAUUUACAUUGCAAUUCCCAAUUUUCUCUUGUCGAGAUCUGCACGAAUUACAAUAACGAAGUUCCGCCCACAUUUCUAUAUAAUAGACGACCUUUAAGAAACCCGCAGCGCAGUCGUCAACGCUUUGUUAACUGUCAAUAAUCGUCAGAAACCCGUUGCACUCUCCUUUUCCAGUGUACCGAUUUCUCAUCUGCAUCCUGGCGAACCGAAC
Molecule: non-coding RNA, 274 nt
Organism: Nomia melanderi (Alkali bee)
Lineage: Eukaryota; Metazoa; Arthropoda; Insecta; Hymenoptera; Halictidae
Source: RefSeq, a predicted model, not a curated record